AGGUUAAGUGAAUAAGGGCGCACGGUGGAUGCCUUGGCACUAGGAGCCGAUGAAGGACGGGACUAACACCGAUAUGCUUUGGGGAGCUGUACGUAAGCUAUGAUCCAGAGAUUUCCGAAUGGGGAACCCAGCAUCUUUAAUAGGAUGUUACGAUUGUGUGAAUACAUAGCACAUUCGAGGUAGACGCAGAGAACUGAAACAUCUAAGUACCUGCAGGAAGAGAAAGAAAAUUCGAUUCCCUGAGUAGCGGCGAGCGAAACGGGAAAAGCCCAAACCAACAAGCUUGCUUGUUGGGGUUGUAGGACUCCAAUAUGGUCGUUCUUUCAGAUAGUCGAAUGACUUGGAAAAGUCAGUCAAAGAGGGUAAAAACCCCGUAGACGAAAUGUGGAAGACACCUAGGAGGAUCCUGAGUACGGCGGAACACGAGAAAUUCCGUCGGAAUCCGGGAGGACCAUCUCCCAAGGCUAAAUACUCCCUAGUGACCGAUAGUGAACCAGUACCGUGAGGGAAAGGUGAAAAGCACCCCGGAAGGGGAGUGAAAUAGAACCUGAAACCGUGUGCCUACAACAAGUCAAAGCCCGUUAAUGGGUGAUGGCGUGCCUUUUGUAGAAUGAACCGGCGAGUUACGAUUGCAUGCGAGGUUAAGUUGAAGAGACGGAGCCGCAGCGAAAGCGAGUCUGAAUAGGGCGUUUGAGUAUGUAGUCGUAGACCCGAAACCAUGUGAUCUACCCAUGUCCAGGUUGAAGGUGCGGUAAAACGCACUGGAGGACCGAACCCACGUACGUUGAAAAGUGCGGGGAUGAGGUGUGGGUAGCGGAGAAAUUCCAAACGAACUUGGAGAUAGCUGGUUCUCUCCGAAAUAGCUUUAGGGCUAGCCUCGGAAUUGAGAAUGAUGGAGGUAGAGCACUGUUUGGACUAGGGGCCCAUCUCGGGUUACCGAAUUCAGAUAAACUCCGAAUGCCAUUCAUUCAUAUCCGGGAGUCAGACUGUGAGUGAUAAGAUCCAUAGUCGAAAGGGAAACAGCCCAGACCACCAGCUAAGGUCCCAAAAUAUAUGUUAAGUGGAAAAGGAUGUGGGGUUGCACAGACAACUAGGAUGUUGGCUUAGAAGCAGCCACCAUUUAAAGAGUGCGUAAUAGCUCACUAGUCGAGUGACCCUGCGCCGAAAAUGUACCGGGGCUAAACAUAUUACCGAAGCUGUGGAGUACACCUUUAGGUGUAUUGGUAGGAGAGCGUUCUAAGGGCGUCGAAGGCAGAUCGUGAGGACUGCUGGAGCGCUUAGAAGUGAGAAUGCCGGUAUGAGUAGCGAAAGACAGGUGAGAAUCCUGUCCACCGAAUGACUAAGGUUUCCUGGGGAAGGCUCGUCCGCCCAGGGUUAGUCGGGACCUAAGCCGAGGCCGAUAGGCGUAGGCGAUGGAUAACAGGUUGAUAUUCCUGUACCCGUUGUUUUUGUUUGAGCAAUGGAGGGACGCAGGAGGCUAAGGAAUGCAGACGAUCGGAAAUGUCUGUCCAAGCAGUAAGUCUGAAGAGGAGUCAAAUGCUUCUUUUCUUAAGGACAAGCUGUGAUGGGGAGGAAAUAAUAGUACCGAAGUUCCUGAUGU
RNAcentral lists this ribosomal RNA (1600 nucleotides) under Enterococcus faecium. RNAcentral's name for it is "partial 23S ribosomal RNA". It matches the Rfam family "Bacterial large subunit ribosomal RNA", at positions 1 to 1600 of the family's 2925-position model. Lineage: Bacteria; Bacillati; Bacillota; Bacilli; Lactobacillales; Enterococcaceae. The record is from RNAcentral.